Molecule: transfer RNA, 67 nt
Filed under: pig gut metagenome
Rfam family: tRNA
About the family: Transfer RNA (tRNA) molecules are approximately 80 nucleotides in length. Their secondary structure includes four short double-helical elements and three loops (D, anti-codon, and T loops).
Source: RNAcentral
UGGUGUAGCUCAGUUGGUAGAGUGGCUGAUUUGUAAUCAGUAGGUCGGGGGUUCAAGUCCGUCCACC